RNAcentral lists this transfer RNA (77 nucleotides) under Fidelibacterota bacterium. RNAcentral's name for it is "tRNA-Arg". It matches the Rfam family "tRNA". From Rfam's summary of the family: Transfer RNA (tRNA) molecules are approximately 80 nucleotides in length. Their secondary structure includes four short double-helical elements and three loops (D, anti-codon, and T loops). Further hydrogen bonds mediate the characteristic L-shaped molecular structure. tRNAs have two regions of fundamental functional importance: the anti-codon, which is responsible for specific mRNA codon recognition, and the 3' end, to which the tRNAs corresponding amino acid is attached (by aminoacyl-tRNA synthetases). tRNAs cope with the degeneracy of the genetic code in two manners: having more than one tRNA (with a specific anti-codon) for a particular amino acid; and 'wobble' base-pairing, i.e. permitting non-standard base-pairing at the 3rd anti-codon position. The record is from RNAcentral. Lineage: Bacteria; Pseudomonadati; Fidelibacterota.
GCGCCCGUAGCUCAGUUGGAUAGAGCGCUUGCCUCCGGAGCAAGAGGUCACAGGUUCGAAUCCUGUCGGGCGUACCA